This 427-nucleotide ribosomal RNA is filed under the name uncultured bacterium. Its description in RNAcentral is "partial 16S ribosomal RNA". It matches the Rfam family "Bacterial small subunit ribosomal RNA", at positions 354 to 796 of the family's 1533-position model. The record is from RNAcentral.
GUGGGGAAUAUUGGGCAAUGGGGGAAACCCUGACCCAGCGACGCCGCGUGAGGGAAGAAGGCCUUAGGGUCGUAAACCUCUGUUGUGUGGGAAGAAGAGCGUGACGGUACCACACGAGGAAGUCCCGGCUAACUACGUGCCAGCAGCCGCGGUAAUACGUAGGGGACGAGCGUUGUCCGGAUUUACUGGGCGUAAAGGGCGCGUAGGCGGUCAUUUAAGUCAGCUGUGAAAUGGUGCGGCUUAACCGCAUCAUGCGGUUGAAACUGGAUGACUGGAGUGCUGGAGAGGCAAGUGGAAUUCCCAGUGUAGCGGUGAAAUGCGUAGAUAUUGUGAAGAACACCGGUGGCGAAGGCGGCUUUCUGGACGGUGUCUGACACUGAGGCGCGAAAGCCAGGGGAGCGAACGGGAUUAGAUACCCGUGUAGUCC